This 253-nucleotide ribosomal RNA is filed under the name uncultured bacterium. RNAcentral describes it as "partial 16S ribosomal RNA". It matches the Rfam family "Bacterial small subunit ribosomal RNA", at positions 524 to 776 of the family's 1533-position model. The record is from RNAcentral.
UACAGAGACUGCAAGCGUUAUUCGGAUUCACUGGGCGUAAAGGGUGCGCAGGCGGUCGGGUGUGUCAGAUGUGAAAUCCCGAGGCUUAACCUCGGAACUGCGUCUGAAACUACUCGACUAGAGUACUGGAGAGGGUAACGGAAUUCACGGUGUAGCAGUGAAAUGCGUAGAUAUCGUGAGGAACACCAGUGGCGAAGGCGAGUCCCUGGACGAUACCUGACACUGAGGCACGAAAGCCAAGGGAGCAAACAGG